ACCGUAAUAAAAUACAUUGUACCAGCCCAUGGUUCGUGCUAUUCCUUGAGGAUAGGCUGCUGGUAGAAGACAAGUAAUCAAAGAAGGGAACCUUCCAUUACUAAGAUAUCCCUCCCAAGCUUGGGAGAAAAUACUAUACAAACCAAGCUUGGACACCAGUUGAUCAAAUAAUUCCUUUGGCAGAACCUUUGUCUACAAUUUGCUGCCUUUAAGGAAUGUAACUAAGAUCCACAACUUUUUGGCUCAUCCACUGUAAUGGUAGUCAUCUACUUUAAUAAGACUACACCAGAUUAUA
Molecule: long non-coding RNA, 295 nt
Filed under: Linum usitatissimum (flax)
Lineage: Eukaryota; Viridiplantae; Streptophyta; Magnoliopsida; Malpighiales; Linaceae
Description: long non-coding RNA (LUSI_LNC001098)
Source: RNAcentral